This 406-nucleotide ribosomal RNA is filed under the name uncultured bacterium. RNAcentral's name for it is "partial 16S ribosomal RNA". It matches the Rfam family "Bacterial small subunit ribosomal RNA", at positions 30 to 526 of the family's 1533-position model. The record is from RNAcentral.
AUUGAACGCUGGCUGCAGGCCUAACACAUGCAAGUCGAACGAGUUGCGGACUGGUGAGUAAUGUCUGGGAAACUGCCCGAUGGAGGGGGAUAACUACUGUAACCGGUAGCUAAUACCGCAUACCAUCGGAUGUGCCCAGAUGGGAUUAGCUAGUAGGUGGGGUAACGGCUCACCUAGGCGACGAUCCCUAGCUGGUCUGAGAGGAUGACCAGACACACUGGAACUGAGACACGGGCCAGACGCCUACGGGAGGCAGCAGUGGGGAAUAUUGCACAAUGGGCGCAAGCCUGAUGCAGCCAUGCCGCGUGUAUGAAGAAGGCCUUCGGGUUGUAAAGUACUUUCAGCGAGGAGGCGUUACUCGCAGAAGAAGAACCGGCUAACUCCGUGCCAGCAGCCGCGGUAAUAC